AAGGCUUCUAGCACACCCUCUAUGAGACUGAUCUUUUCACUUCAUACACCAUAUUGAACUUGAGGUAAGUUGAAGCUUUCAGUUGCUCAUCAUAAGAACCAUAUUAUGUGUGCUUUAAUGUGACUUUUGCUACGUGUUCUGCAUGAUGUUUGAAUGAUUGAUGAUUCAUAGUGAUAUGAAAGAAUAUGUUUUGAAAAUGGGUGUAUGGUACUUGAUUGAUGGUCGAGUAGGCAAGGGA
Molecule: long non-coding RNA, 238 nt
Filed under: Erythranthe guttata (spotted monkey flower)
Lineage: Eukaryota; Viridiplantae; Streptophyta; Magnoliopsida; Lamiales; Phrymaceae
Description: long non-coding RNA (EGUT_LNC002159)
Source: RNAcentral